CAGGCAUUGCCCUAGUAACGGCGAGUGAAGCGGCAACAGCUCAAAUUUGAAAUCUGGCUCUCUUUGGGGGUCCGAGUUGUAAUUUGCAGAGGAUGCUUUGGCAUUGGCGGCGGUCUAAGUUCCUUGGAACAGGACAUCACAGAGGGUGAGAAUCCCGUACGUGGUCGCCUGCCCUUGCCGUGUAAAGCUCCUUCGACGAGUCGAGUUGUUUGGGAAUGCAGCUCUAAAUGGGAGGUAAAUUUCUUCUAAAGCUAAAUACUGGCCAGAGACCGAUAGCGCACAAGUAGAGUGAUCGAAAGAUGAAAAGUACUUUGGAAAGAGAGUCAAAAAGCACGUGAAAUUGUUGAAAGGGAAGCGCUUGCAGCCAGACUUGCCCGCAGUUGCUCACCUAGGCUUUCGCCUGGGGCACUCUUCUGCGGGCAGGCCAGCAUCAGUUUGGGCGGUUGGAUAAAGGCCUCUGUCACGUAUCUCCCUUCGGGGUGACCUUAUAGGGGAGGCGCAAUGCAACCAGCCCGGACUGAGGUCCGCGCAUCUGCUAGGAUGCUGGCGUAAUGGCUGUAAGCGGCCCGUCUUGAAACACGGACCAAGGAGUCUAACAUCUAUGCGAGUGUUUGGGUGUCAAGCCCGAGCGCGCAAUGAAAGUGAACGGAGGUGGGAACCCUUUGGGUGCACCAUCGACCGAUCCUGAUGUCUUCGGAUGGAUUUGAGUAAGAGCAUAGCUGUUGGGACCCGAAAGAUGGUGAACUAUGCUUGAAUAGGGUGAAGCCAGAGGAAACUCUGGUGGAGGCUCGCAGCGGUUCUGACGUGCAAAUCGAUCGUCAAAUUUGGGCAUAGGGGCGAAAGACUAAUC
Molecule: ribosomal RNA, 850 nt
Filed under: Paraconiothyrium coniothyrium
Lineage: Eukaryota; Fungi; Ascomycota; Dothideomycetes; Pleosporales; Didymosphaeriaceae
Description: LSU rRNA
Rfam family: Eukaryotic large subunit ribosomal RNA
Source: RNAcentral